AGCAGCCGCGGUAAUUCCAGCUCCAAUAGCGUAUAUUAAAGUUGCUGCAGUUAAAAAGCUCGUAGUUGAAUUUCGGGACUAAUAUGUCGGUCGUGCUUCGGUACGUACUGGUUUAUUGGUUUCUCCUUUCUGAAGAACCAUGAUGUCAUUUAUUUGGUGUCGUGGGGAAUCAGGACUGUUACUUUGAAAAAAUUAGAGUGUUUAAAGCAGGCUCACGCUUGAAUACAUUAGCAUGGAAUAAUGAAAUAGGACGUUUGAUUCUAUUUUGUUGGUUUCUAGGAUCGACGUAAUGAUUAAUAGGGAUAGUUGGGGGCAUUAGUAUUCAAUUGUCAGAGGUGAAAUUCUUGGAUUUAUUGAAGACUAACUACUGCGAAAGCAUUUGCCAAGGAUGUUUUCAUUAAUCAAGAACGAAAGUUAGGGGAUCGAAGACGAUCAGAUACCGUCGUAGUCUUAACCAUAAACUAUGCCGACUAGGGAUCGGAUGAUGUUAAUUUUUUAAUGACUCAUUCGGCGCCUUACG
Molecule: ribosomal RNA, 520 nt
Filed under: uncultured Glomeraceae
Lineage: Eukaryota; Fungi; Glomeromycota; Glomeromycetes; Glomerales; Glomeraceae
Description: SSU rRNA
Rfam family: Eukaryotic small subunit ribosomal RNA
Source: RNAcentral